RNAcentral lists this ribosomal RNA (253 nucleotides) under uncultured bacterium. RNAcentral describes it as "partial 16S ribosomal RNA". It matches the Rfam family "Bacterial small subunit ribosomal RNA", at positions 524 to 776 of the family's 1533-position model. The record is from RNAcentral.
UACGUAGGUGGCAAGCGUUGUCCGGAUUUAUUGGGUUUAAAGGGUGCGUAGGCGGUCUUAUAAGUCAGUGCUGAAAUAUCCCGGCUUAACCGGGAGGGUGGCAUUGAUACUGUAGGACUUGAGUAAAGUUGAGGUUGGCGGAAUUGACGGUGUAGCGGUGAAAUGCUUAGAUAUCGUCAAGAACACCUAUUGCGAAGGCAGCUAACUAAGCUUUAACUGACGCUGAGGCACGAAAGUGUGGGGAUCAAACAGG